Molecule: unclassified non-coding RNA, 8962 nt
Filed under: Diabrotica virgifera virgifera (western corn rootworm)
Lineage: Eukaryota; Metazoa; Arthropoda; Insecta; Coleoptera; Chrysomelidae
Description: colorectal mutant cancer protein
Source: RNAcentral
CUUUCAGUAGUGGCAAUACCAGCUCCGUCUGAGUUCGCUACGGACGCCUUCUCCAGCGGAUAUCGGUUAGUGGGUGUCGUGCACGACGUCGCUUUUUUUGCUCUCUGGGGAUGUGACACCGUGUGAUUCGCGUGUGUCCUUGACUUUUUGAUAUUGUGUGACAGUUCGCGCCGAAGGAGGGAUGUAAAAAUUAAUUGGAUCGCUGUUUCUGGAAUGUAAAUAUUAGCUAUCCAUAAUCAUGGAUUACAGCCUACUAUUCUAAGGAGAUACAAUCAUACUGGCGGGGGCAGACUUACAAUUAGAAAACGGGUGUGGCGAAGGAGGGAGUGGUGGGGACAAGAGUUGCCUAACAACGUACAUCUUCAACCCGGUGGAAACGUGUACUGGCACACCUAGUCCAGAAAAGGCCCACUUGAAGACGCCAGACUCGUCGACGAAACUCAGUCCCCCCCAAGAUGUCAUCUCUUCGACAGAUGUUGCCCAUAUGCAUCCCAAUUUUCUUUAUGGGAAAGUACUACCCGACGGAAAACCCAACUUUCUUACGGAUUACGAGCUGAGCUUCAAAAACUGUAAUUUUGGAGCGGGAGCUGACCAUGCUAAGUGCUGCGUUGGAGGACAUUUUGGGAGGGAUCUGAGUUUCGGUCACUUAUACACCAUCAGCAAAAGUGAUCGGAUAGAAGAGCGCACUUACGAUGAACCUUAUACAGGAGAUUUGCCAAGGAGGUCUUGGCUAUGCUGUCCUGGAUCUCAACCGCAUGUUGGUGAUGCCGAUCAGCCACCAUUAUUGGACACGGCAACGACAUCAUCGAAAACUCCAUCCACUCCCUUGGCUGAAGCCAUCACAAAACCUCCGGGAUAUAAUGUAUGUUCAGGAACUUGUGAAAAGCUGCAGCGACAAUUAGACGAGCAGUCCCAACGUUAUGAAGAACAGUUAACAGAAUUACAUUCUGUUAUAGCCGAACUGACGAGGAAAUUACAUCAGCAACGGUCAAUGGCUAUAGCCGAAGAAGAAGAAGUAUCAGAAUCAUGUACAAGUGCUCACGAAGAUUCAGUAACGUGUCCAUUAGAAGUCAGCGAAUUGGAACCUAUAGAAAAUGAACUUUCAGAUGUGGAUAAUAAAGUACCGUUUCCUGAAAGUCCCCAAGCAUUACCAGAGCCCAAAUUGUCUAACCACGAAAACAACGAAUUGUCGCCAUAUUCUGAGGUUGUAGAGCCCCUAAAAAAUGAAAUCACGAACCUCAAACAACAACUGCAUGAGGCUCACACCAGGUUAGCCCAAAUAUCGUUGGCAAAAAUUGAAGAAACUUCUACUGAAGAGGUACUGACUGAUAGUAAGAAUAUGGACUCGCCGGAAUCUCAUAUCGAAAUAGAUUGUGAACCAAAGAUGUAUCAAGAAGAUAAGGUUGAUAUCAAAUACAGUAACAUAGUACCUAUUCAUCGGACUAAUAUAAGGAAUAACUUUUACUCCAGCGCACCUGUACCUAAAGUUGCGGAAAGAAUAAAAUUAAAGAGAGCCACUGAUCAGCGAGGAAUUAAUCCAAAUGACCUGCUUAACUCUGAUUUGUCAACGGCGGUUGCGGAACACAUCGUUGGUGAUAUAUUGAAGCAAUGCGAUAUUCAAGCCGAGAAGCAAGGAUUAGAUAUUGAAAUUAGAAAAGUUAGUGCUAAAUUAGAAAAUGCAAGAUCACAAAACUCGGUAUUAGCAAUGACUUUGUCUGAGACUAAAGCGCAUUGUGAUAGAUUGGCCUUAUUAUGUGGUAAAUAUGAAUCAAACGCCAUCGCAUUACAACUUGCUUUGGGUAUAAGUGAUCGCAUUAUAGAAGCUUACGACGUUCUUCUAGCUCUACUUGAGACAGAACUUAGCCUGAAAGACGAUGAUUCCGACACAUUGCAGAAUAGAAGCGCUGCAGAAACGGUGGCCAAACAACUUCUACAUCAUUUAGAUUCUUAUCAGAGUACGGAUAUUUUGUUAUCUCCGUGGCAAAAUCAUGUAUAUAACAGUCCUACGAUUGAUAGUGAUGAACCUUGGAAUAACGACCACGAAAUGAGAUUAAGAGAACACGUUUCAAGACUAAAAGCAGACAGAAGUAACAUUCAAGGAACUUAUGUAGUUUUGGAAUCAACUCAACUCGAAUAUGUACCUGUACGACCUUCCAGCACUCAAGAAGCCAGAAAAAUGGACUUGGAAAUGGCUGUCUUAAUGCAGGAACUUAUGGGUCUACGAGAAGACAAGUCUGAACUGAUAUCCAAGCUCUUCGCUUUAGAAAAAGAGAAAUGUGCCAUAGAACUGAAACUUAAAUAUUCCGAAGGGCAGCAGAAAGCUCAGUCAGCAACUUUGAAAAACCUUCAGGGCCAACUAAAAGAUACAGAAGCAUUAUUAGCUAUAGCUACUCAGCAUAAGGAACAAGGAUAUUCAGAUGCUGAGCACGCUCAAGGCAUUGAAUUGGAAUUAAUGCAGGCAUUAGCAAGAGAGGCAAGACUGAAAGUUAGGUUACAAGAGUUGGUUACUACACUAGAGCAGGUAACAAAGAAUGCUGAAGCAAGGCUACUGGAAGGGAGAGAAAUAGUACAAGAUCUUAAUCAUACAAAUAGUAUAUUAGCUGACACUGUAGACAGAAAUAAUAAAAAGUAUCAAGCCAAAUUUAAAAAGAUGGAACAGCAAAUGUUUAUAUUAGUUGAAAAGCACAAUGCGCAGGUUCAAAAUUUGCAACAAAAGAUAGCUACGUUAGAAACGCCUCCAACAAAUAGUUCUGAAAAUUCCAUUAAUUCAGUAGCAGUCUAGCAGUCUUGUGUGUCAUUGCAUUUAAAUGAUGAUUUAACAUAGUUAUGUUGAUCUCUUUUCAUCUUAAUUUUAAGAGAGUUACAGAGCAUUUAAUGCUGCGCUUGUGUACCGGAUCUAGUAAUGAUGAUGUUGGUAUCAGUGUACGAUUGUUUAAAGUAAUUGAAAAAUUUUGUCAUUCCAAUUUAUAGAACUAAAGUUUUAUAAGCUACCUGUUUUAUUUCUUAAUUAUAGGAUUACUAUAACAUUUUUUUCUUUCAAGUAUAUUACAUUUGAUUAGUUUAGAACUUCAAAAGGACAAUAGUUUCCAUUAGGUAACAUUGAACCACUAGUAUGGUGCUUAUCAGAGGCUUCUUUCAGUGCGAAACAAGUGACAGAAAAAAAGGUACGUCCGUGAUACAUACACAUUCAUAACCAGAGGUGUAACCAGGAUGAUCCUAAGGGGGGGGGUUACAACUACUUGACGGUCUCUGGGGGGUAUGGAAUAGUAAUGGUGUUAAGCGUAUAGAGCUCAAAGUCCAUCCAAAUGGGGAUGUAACCCCCAAAACUCCCCCUUGGUUACGCCUAUGUUCAUAACAUUUAUUUCAGUUGUUGAUAGAUGGCACUAUAAUCCAAAAAGAAAUGAUUUAGGUAUUUACCCAUUAUUUACCUAUGUAUAGUCCGUCCGCUAUAACUUUUCCCAUGCGGUACGAUUCAUUUUCAAUCAAAUUAAGUCAAAACAGAAAGUGAAACGUACGCCGAUGUGUGUAGUAUAUAGUAUACAGUAUACAAAAUGUAUAUACACAUCUACGUUCGUUUCAAUUUAUGUUUUGACUUAAUUUGAUUGAAAAUGAAUCGUACCGCAUGGGAAAAGUUAUAGAGGACGGACUAUACAUAGGUAUCUAUACGACUUUAAUUUAAAGUUCUUCUCAGUCUUUCAGUGUGUCAUUCAUGAUGUAAUAUAUGAUUUUAAAAAUGUAAAGAAUCAUAUCAUGACAUUUUAGUUAAAUCUGACAGUGUUGUCAGAAUCGUAAUCGUAAUUUGGUAUAAAAACAAAUCAAUUGUGUUUAUUUCAUUUAUAAAAAGGUAUGUUCUUUGAUUUGUAUAGUCUUAUAAAUUGUACAGAUUAUAGUCGUAUAGAUAAUACAUAAAUAAUUUUUUGUUCGUUUAUAGCGCCAUCUAUCAGCAACUAGUAUAAAUGUUAUAAAUGACUUUAAUAACGGACGUACCUUUUUGUCUGUCACUUCCAACUUAAUGCGUUAGAAAGAAAUCGAAAAACUGUGACGCACUGAAAGAUGCCUCUGAGAAGGAGUAUAUACCAAUGUACCUUAAUUUAGGGAUCGUAAAUGACAGUAGGUAUUAGUACUGUUUACAUAAGUGCGAUAUGUAUUAAUGAUGACAGAUAUUAACACAAUGCAGAAAUACAAAAAAAUAUAAAUACUAGGUGUGAGUGAAUAAUAAGUGAUAAAUAAUGAGACGAGUAAACUAUUUAACAAACAUAAUAAUAGCCCUAAAAAACCGUUUUUUAGGCUGAGCCAUAAUACAAGACUAUAGUAUACUAGAAAAAAUCUUAGUUUAACAUUGGGAAGUUCAGAAGUUUAAAUACUUGGAAUACUUUACAAAUGUAUACAAACACUUUUUUGUUUUUUAACCAUGUUUCUAUAGAUCAAGAACUGAGACUUAAAAGGCAAGAACAAGAAACAGACAAGAACAUCUAUAUCUAUAGCUAGGUCAGUAAUGAACUAAAAAUUGUCAAUAAUUUUUUUCUGUGAUUCGUCUUUAAAUAGUUGGAAAGAAGAAGGAAACUACGUUUAUCCCAAAAUUUUGUUAGUUACUUACAUACUGCAUACUUCAAUACUUACACUAUUAGGCUUCGUUUUUCUGACGAUUUAUUAUUUUGUAAUUUCUUUAGAAUCUUUUGUAUUUCUUGGUUUUGAAUUUCAAAUCGAAUUAACAUUUAUUGUUUUUAAAGUUUAUAUAAAAAAGUGUUGUCUAUUUAAAUCUAAAUACGAAUUAGUUGUUCAUUGCAAUUAAAUGUUUAAAUACUUUUGGAACGAUUGACAGAUUUCUUUACAAAAAUCAGUUAAGUAUAUAUUGCUGAAUUGAUGACUACAAUUCGCCAAAAGUUUGAAACUUCCUCAUUCGUUGUUGUGCAACGUGCACUACUUUUCAUUUCUCUUUGCCAAUUUGACGACAUGCGAAGUUUCAUAGCUUCUUGUGCCUCUUCUAGAUGCAUAAGGUGUGUUAAGGAGAAGAUACACCUGUUCAAUGUGCCGUAAGACACAAACUACAGAAACAUAUUAAUACCUUAAUCUCGAUUAAGUGAGGAUAGUUUCGGAAGUGAUUAAUUCAUCUUGUAGAGAAAUAUAAUAUUUGCGACCUAUAAGUAAACAUAAAGAACAGACUGUGUCUGUAUUGGGGGAACGCAAGAAGAUAUACGGCUAUGAAGUAGACAGAAAGUCAAUCACAGAUCGAUGUAAAAAAACUUGGGAAUUAAAAGAACAAAAAAAAAUGACUAUUUAAAUAACGGAUGACAAAAAUACAGUUGAGUCCGCGAAUCUUUACCCGUGCGUCAUCACUUAAAGCAUACGAAAUAAGUCGGAAAUCUAUUUCACGCAACAACAACUGACAGAAAGUGGCUAUUGUUCCGAUUACGGGUUUUAUUAUAAAAUUUGACGUUAUCAAAUAUAUAGAAUGUCAAAUGUAAGUUUUGCUUCAAAAUUUUUACGCAGAAUUACAGCUACAUUUGAAGUAGCUUAAUAAAUUCUUUUAUUAUUAUUGAUUAAUAAAUAAAUAAACAAUUUAUAAAAAAAUCCAAUAACAUAUUUUAUUUUUGUUAUUUUAUUCACUUUGACGGAAAUUUAAACAGUCAUUUCUUUACUGUGUGAAUGACGUUAGCUUUGUAUGUUUUAAAUAUUAAUUGCCUAAAUAUAAUUAUUUACCUUAAAAUUUCAAAGCCCAAUAUAAAAAUAGUUGUGAAAACAACUGUUUGUGUAAUAUAAAGAAACUUCAAAACGCAAAAAUUCGACAAAAACCGCAAAAAGUUCAACUGACUGACAGCCACAAAAUUAAACAAAUCAGAAACGUCAAACAAAUUGUGCUUAAAAUAUGAAAACAUGCCGAAUCGUCUUUUUUUGUACCUAUCUCUUUUCAAUGCACUGAGUCUAGAUGGUUCAUAAAAAUAACAUGUGUUGUUACUUAAUAACAAACGGCAGCUGGUUUGUCAUGAGUUUCAUGCAUGGAAGAGAAUGAUGCUAGAUAAAAAGUAUGUGUUUUAUCUCGCCAGGUAUUAAUGACGCACGGGUAAAGACUCGCGGACUCAACUGUACUUAGAGACACAGAAAUGGAUUACUGGAGAUAAGCAGCGGACAAAAUAAAUAUCGUAAACGAAAUACGGAAAAAUCAAUUAAUAUGAUAUGGGCGACAUGGGCGUGUUGAGAUAAUAACCAAUUACAGAAUUUCUACAAAGUGCUUUUUUAUAAUAAAGGAAAAGAAAACCUGGAAAGAAGACACCGAGAAAAAGAUAAAAGACAGAAUCGUGGAAGAUAACAUGUAUACAAGAGAAUAUACAAGUAGGGAGUAUAGAUAGUAAGCGUCACGCUAGUAGACACACGAGUACCUACUUGCUAGGCUUGGGCUAAUCCGACCCGUUCUCACCUGUGACUUUCAUGUCUGUCAUGUCAUGUGACUCUCAUGAAAUAAUUGUUUAAAACUACCUAAUUGUUUUUCAUACAAAAAAAUAGGUACAUUAAUUAAUAGUAUUGUUACUCUGCUUUAAAAUAACUUUAUUCAAACACCAACAAUAUUACAAUACUUUAUAAAUUUUGCUGACUUGAACACAAUGACUUGACUUGAACUAUAAACUGCAAAUACAACUGUUCUAUAAACAGUCAACUUUCUAUUAGUCUGAGAGCUAGUGAACCCUUCGACUAACGGUCGUCCUGUAAGGCUAGAAAUUUGUCUAGUGAUAAUUCAUAGCACACCAAUUCUAAAAACCAUGACCUGGCAGGCAUCAGCGCUGCACGUGUAUCUACCAGGUGAAUCGAAAAGUGCAAAUUUAGGGGGCAAAAUAAACUUUCUCCUGUAAGGUUUAAAUUUAAGUAUGUGUUUGAGUAAGUCAUUUAGAAGAAAUGUGUACAAUGACAGGCGAUUCUGAAGACCAUAAGACCUUGCCAGGCGAGGGGAAUGAUUAGGGGUUUUCCCUAAAAUUAUUUUUUUUUGCAUCGAACAAUUUUUUUUAGGUUUUUUGAAUCAUUCCAAACAGAAAAGGUCUUUAGUGAUUUUUCUCUUAAGUUAAUAGUUUUUGUUAUAUAAGCGAUUGAAAAUUUUGAAAAUUGCGAAAUCGGCCAUUUUUAACCCUAAAUCGGACAUUUAUCUAAAAAUUUCAAAGUUGCCAAGGUAGGUAGAUAUUCUUUAAACAUUGAUUGAUGAAAUCUCAAAGAGUUUUUUGCAAUACAAUAUCGGAAACCCCUUUGUUUUUUAAUUGCUGAUCAAGCGUGCACGACACUGUAGUAUAAGUGAGGACGUUUGAGUUAGCAUAAAUUCAUUAUCUCGAGAAUGGGCAAAUUUCAAGAGAAAUCCUCAGACAGGUCGAUUUUUAUUUUUCAAUUAGGACUUUUUGGCAUAUAUAUAAUUCUAGUGACGUCAUCCAUCUGAGCGUGAUGACGUAAUCGAUGAUUUUUUUAAAUGAGAGUAGGGGUUAUGUGAUAGCUCAUUUGAAAGGUUUUUUAAUUAUCUAUUCAGUAAUAUAGACAUUAACAUAAUUAUUUAUACAGGGUGUACAAAAAAAAGUUUUCUUCUAUUUGUCAAAUUUAAUCAAAGUUAAUUUAAUAAUAAAAAUUUUUUGUACACCCUGUAUAAAUAAUUAUGUUAAUGUUUAUAUUAGUUAAUAGAGAAUUAAAUAACCUUUCAAAUGAGCUAUCACACAACCCCUACUCUCAUUUAAAAAAAUCAUCGAUUACGUCAUCACGCUCAGAUGGAUUAUGUCACUAGUAUUAUAUAUAUGCCAAAAAGUCCCAAUUUAAAAAUAAAAAUCGACCUGUCUGAGGACUUUUCUUGAAAUUUGCCCAUUCUCGAGAUAAUGAAUUUAUGUCAACUCAAACGUCCUCACUUAUACUACAGUGUCGCGCCCGCUUGAUCAGCAAUUAAAAAACAAAGGGGUUUCCGAUAUUGUAUUGCAAAAAACUCUUUGAGAUUCAUCAAUCAAUGUUUAAAGAAUAUCUACCUACCUUGGCAACUUUGAAAUUUUUAGAUAAAUGUCCGAUUUAGGGUUAAAAAUAGCCAAUUUCGCAAUUUUCAAAAUUUUCAAUCGGUUAUAUAACAAAAACUAUUAACUUAAGAGAAAAAUCACUAAAGACCUUUUCUGUUUGGAAUGAUUCAAAAAACCUAAAAAAAAUUUGUUCGAUGCAAAAAAAAUAAUUUUAGGAAAAACCCCUAAUCUUUCCCGUCGCCUGGCAAGAUCUUAUGCUCUUCAGAAUCGCCUGUCAUUGUACACAUUUCUUCUAAAUGACUUACACAAACACAUACUUAAAUUUAAACCUUACAGGAGAAAGUUUAUUUUACCCCCUAAAUUUGCACUUUUCGAUACACCUGGUAGAUACACGUGCACCGCUGAUGCCUGCCAGGUCAUGGUUUUUAGCCUUGGUGUGCUAUGAAUUAUCACUAGACAAACUAGCCUUACAGGACGACCGUUACUCGGAGGGUUCACUAGCUCUUAGACUAUAUGUUUAUAUUCGGUUUCUACACAUAUUCUGACGUUCUAGACGUCACUAGACAUUAAAAGUAAAAAGUGCAACAAGUAAAGGGUCCAGGACUGUAUUAGCUCAAUGUGCCCGUGGUCAAGUAGCGUGGCGGUUACUAUAUAAACAGGUAUAAAGAUAUUGUAUUUAUGUACGUUAGUUAAUCAGUAACUAACUAAAAAAUCUACAAUUUAUUACCACCGUACUGUAACCAUUUAAACAGUAUUACAAUGUUAAGCGCUAGAAGUUGUUUAUACAAACUUUACGUCUAAAUUGGAAUGGCAGUUAAUGUGCUAAGGUGUGUCUGCCUCGCUGUGAUUAACAUAUACCCUUAAAAAAGAUGGCAAAGAUACGUAUUAUCAGGAAAAUUAUUUAUUUACAAUGAGAAUCGCUAUAAUAUUUCUAAGUACUAAUAUAAUUUGUUUUGUUAAAUUUGUUUUGUACAAUAAACUUUUUUAUGUCUGAA